This 1497-nucleotide long non-coding RNA is filed under the name Ananas comosus (pineapple). Its description in RNAcentral is "long non-coding RNA (ACOM_LNC027985)". The record is from RNAcentral. Lineage: Eukaryota; Viridiplantae; Streptophyta; Magnoliopsida; Poales; Bromeliaceae.
CUCUCUCAACAGGCGGAGUCCGUUCAGCGCCAAGGGGAGCAAAUCCAAAGGCUCCAGGAGGCGUUGGAGUGACGACAGACGACGGCGGCUCAAGCAGGGGCCGAACACCCUGUGCCUCUUAUUGUGGUGCCGACGGUGGCCGAGAAAGUAGCGGCGGCGGCUUUAUCCGCUCAACUCUCAGACCUCGCCGGAUCCGGAGGUAGCGGAGGUCUCGACCUCCUCCAGAUUUGCCGCGUUAUCCGCUGCGGCAGAUUGGGAGCGUGUAAUCGGCAUCACACUACAAUAUCAUAAAAGCGUAAGUUAGUAAACUCACGCCAUCGAAUCCCCACUCAAGAAGGUAAUGCCCCAAAUCAUGCGAAAGUAAUGAAGUGUGCUUCACUACUAACUCAGAGGGUUACGUUGUCGGCCGCCAACGUAACCCUCUGUGGAGUUAGGAGCUAUACACUUCAAUUUAACUCCACUUUCUAGAGUUGUCAAGAUACCCAAUCACGAUACUUUCGCUUACAAGUCAAAUAGACCUCGUCUCUCACAAGCCUAUUUCCUAUAGUCCAACCGGCCUAAGGUUUGCUAGGUCCACUAAGACUCAACCCUAGGCUCUGAUACCAAACUAAUCUGUCACGCCCCGGGACCCAGCGGAAGCCCACCCGGUGCGUGCCCAGACCCGCCAUAUGUCUAAAACAUACAAGGCGUUUAAAACAAAACGAUAAAUAAUGCAGUAGAACAAAAGAAUCUAACGAUAUCAGAGCAAAGUAAAUAACUAAGUUCUACACAGAGGGGUAAGCAUAAAACUGCAAUCCACUAAUAAAGCCAUAAAGUAGUACAAAGGAAAUUCCAAAUACAAAAACUAAACAUAAAGAGUAUAUAGGUGGUCUCUCUAUACAUGGUACUCAAAAUCUCUCUAUCUCUCUAAUACAAUAAAAGAAAGAGUAAACCACCUAAGCUCAAAAGUAGCUCCCCGCUAACUAGCUACGCGACUCCCUUGCCGCGAUCCCGUGCCUCCGCCGGUGCCGAAGGCUCUGAAAUAAAACCAUAAAACAGGGGGCGUGAGAACUAUUGAAUAAUAGUUCCCAGUGGGCAAUUACUGGCUUCAGUGAAAUGCACCACUAGGCCCAAACUAAAAAGGGGUCAGUAAGCAGAUAUAAACAAAACGAUAUGUACGACAAGUACAUAAGCAUGAAUAUUUGCUACCAUAUGAUAUCUCUACUCAGCAGGAUUUAGCAUAAGUAAGAAAAGCUAUUCUCAAAAGAAUGUACCGAAGCAUCGCUAGUAUGAUAUCCAUAAGUCAAAUAGCAAAGAUGUCAUUGUUUACUAGUCUAAUCAAUGUCUACAUGGCAUGAUGAAUGCUCAAAAUCAAAUCUGAAGAGACCCGCCCGAAGGUUGUCUGGCCCUGAGACCCACCCGUAGGCUAUCUGGCCGGUGCUGAGCCUAAUGGCCCCGUGGUAGUCAACAUCCCCACUCUAUGAAUGAGCCUUUCCCAUGGCAAUCCACUUCGGCGCC